Molecule: unclassified non-coding RNA, 248 nt
Filed under: plant metagenome
Description: partial contains small subunit ribosomal RNA and internal transcribed spacer 1
Rfam family: Eukaryotic small subunit ribosomal RNA (bases 1-46)
Source: RNAcentral
AAGUCGUAACAAGGUUUCCGUAGGUGAACCUGCGGAAGGAUCAUUAAUGUAACCGGAUCGGUUCGUGGCAGGUGAGAGCUUGUCGCGGGUCGCGAAGGGAAUAUCAUACACCCUGUGUUAAUUUACCUUUGUUGCUUUGGCGGGCCGUUAGGCUCACGCCCCACUACCGGCUCCGGCUGGUAAGCGCCCGCCAGAGGACCCAAAACCCUGAAUGUUAGUGUCGUCUGAGUACUACAUAAUAGUUAAAA